This 1369-nucleotide ribosomal RNA is filed under the name human gut metagenome. RNAcentral's name for it is "bacterial LSU rRNA". It matches the Rfam family "Bacterial large subunit ribosomal RNA", at positions 1115 to 2481 of the family's 2925-position model. The record is from RNAcentral.
GCCAUGCAUUCAAAGAGUGCGUAACAGCUCACUGGUCGAGUGGGGGCGCGCCGACAAUGCGCGGGGCUCAAGCACGGCGCCGAAGCGGCGGAAUCAUGAAUUUGAUUGGUAGGGGAGCUUUCCAUGCCGGGCGAAGCCGGAGGCGCGAGCCCCGGUGGACGGCAUGGAAGUGAGGAUGCAGGCAUGAGUAGCGAGAGAGCGGCGAGAAACCGCUCCGCCGAAAACCCAAGGUUUCCUGGGCGAGGCUAAUCCCCCCAGGGUCAGCCGGGAGCUAAGGCGAGGCCGCGAGGCGCAGCCGAUGCACGACGGGCAGACAUUCCCGUGCCGGCGCGGGCGCGCUACGACCGAUGGGACGACGGGGAAGGAUACGCGAGCGGGGUUCUGGACGUCCCCGUGAAAGCGCGUAGGGAGGGGCCCAGGGAAAUCCGGUCCCCACAUAUCCCGAGACGCGAGACGAGCCGCACGGCGAAGUCGCGGAUUCCAUGCCUCCUAGAAAAAUCCCUAGGCAGCGCCCACGCCGCCCGUACCAAAACCGACACAGGCGGGUAGGAAGAGCAUUCCGAGGCGAUCGGGGCAACCAUGGUCAAGGAACUCGGCAUAAUCGUCCCGUAACUUAGGGAGAAGGGACGCCCCCCAGCGUGUACCGGCUCGCCCGGGAAGCGCCGGGGGGCCGCAGCGAAAGGGCCCAAGCGACUGUUUACCAAAAACACAGGACUCUGCCAAGCCGCGAGGCGAAGUAUAGGGUCUGACGCCUGCCCGGUGCCGGAAGGUCACGGGGAUCCGUUAGAGAAAUCGAAGCGGUGAACCCAAGCCCCGGUAAACGGCGGCCGUAACUAUAACGGUCCUAAGGUAGCGAAAUUCCUUGUCGGGUAAGUUCCGACCUGCACGAACGGCGCAACGACUUGGGCGCUGUCUCGACCAUGGGCCCGGCGAAAUUGCAUUAUCCGUGAAGAUGCGGAUUCCCCGCGGAAGGACGGAAAGACCCCGUGAACCUUUACUGCAGCUUGGCAUUGGCCGCAGGCGCGGCGCGUAGAGGAUAGGCAGGAGGCUGCGAAGCCCGGGCGCCAGCCCGGGCGGAGCCGACCUUGGAAUACUGCCCCCGUCGCGUCGGCGGCCUAACCCGGGGACGGCCCGGGGACCGUGCCAGGCGGGCAGUUUGACUGGGGCGGUCGCCUCCCAAAGAGUAACGGAGGCGCGCGCAAGGUCCGCUCAGGACGGUCGGCAACCGUCCGAAGAGCGCAAGAGCACAAGCGGGCCUGACUGCGAGGCAGACAAGCCGAGCAGGGACGAAAGUCGGCUCUAGUGAUCCGGCGGCCCCGAGUGGAAGGGCCGUCGCUCAACGGAUAAAAGGUACUCCGGGGAUAACAGG